GACGAACGCUGGCGGCGUGCUUAACACAUGCAAGUCGAGCGGUAAGGCCCUUUCGGGGGUACACGAGCGGCGAACGGGUGAGUAACACGUGGGUGACCUGCCCUCAGCUCUGGGAUAAGCCUGGGAAACCGGGUCUAAUACCGGAUAUGACUCCAUGACGCAUGUUGUGGGGUGGAAAGCCUUGUGCGGCUGAGGAUGGGCCCGCGGCCUAUCAGCUUGUUGGUGGGGUGAUGGCCACCAAGGCGACGACGGGUAGCCGGCCUGAGAGGGCGACCGGCCACACUGGGACUGAGACACGGCCCAGACUCCUACGGGAGGCAGCAGUGGGGAAUCUUGCGCAAUGGGCGAAAGCCUGACGCAGCGACGCCGCGUGAGGGAUGACGCCU
Molecule: ribosomal RNA, 386 nt
Filed under: uncultured bacterium
Lineage: Bacteria
Description: bacterial SSU rRNA
Rfam family: Bacterial small subunit ribosomal RNA
Source: RNAcentral